Molecule: small RNA, 127 nt
Filed under: Marmota monax (woodchuck)
Lineage: Eukaryota; Metazoa; Chordata; Mammalia; Rodentia; Sciuridae
Source: RNAcentral
GCUGGGUGUGAUGGCACAUGCCUGUAAUCCCAGUGGCUAUGGAGGCUGAGGCAGGAGGAUCUCGAGUUCAAAGCCAGCCUCAGCAACUUGGCGAGGUACUAAGCAACUCAGUGAGACCCUGUCUCUA